Marasmius fiardii PR-910 is the source of this 96-nucleotide non-coding RNA. Lineage: Eukaryota; Fungi; Basidiomycota; Agaricomycetes; Agaricales; Marasmiaceae. The record is from the annotation of a GenBank genome assembly.
AGCAGCAUGGCGCAGUGGUAGCGCGCGGGGCCCAUAUUAUGUUAUUCUGGUUUUGCGGGAACCCCGAGGUCACUUGAUCGAAACAAGUUGCUGCUA